This 64-nucleotide transfer RNA is filed under the name Amblyomma fimbriatum (goanna tick). RNAcentral's name for it is "tRNA-Ser". The record is from RNAcentral. Lineage: Eukaryota; Metazoa; Arthropoda; Arachnida; Ixodida; Ixodidae.
GAUUUUUUAACUAUAUAAAGUAUAUAUUUUGAAAAUAUAAAAAAGAGAUAUUCUCUAAAAAUCU